CCUACGGGUGGCAGCAGUGAGGAAUAUUGGUCAAUGGACGAGAGUCUGAACCAGCCAAGUAGCGUGAAGGAUGACUGCCCUAUGGGUUGUAAACUUCUUGUAUAUGGGAAUAAAAUGUUCCACGUGUGGGAUUUUGUAUGUACCAUAUGAAUAAGGAUCGGCUAACUCCGUGCCAGCAGCCGCGGUAAUCCGGAGGAUCCGAGCGUUAUCCGGAUUUAUUGGGUUUAACGGGAGCGUAGGUGGAUUGGUAAGUCAGUUGGGAACGUUUGCGGCUCAACCGUAAAAUUGAAGUUGAAACUGGCCGUCUUUAGUACAGUAGAGGUGGGCGGAAUUCGUGGUGUAGCUGUGAAAUGCUUAGAUAUCACGAAGAACUCCGAUUGCGAAGGCAGUUCACUGGACUGCAACUGACACUGAGGCUCGAAAGUGUGGGUAUCAAACAGGAUUAGAUACCCUAGUAGUC
Molecule: ribosomal RNA, 460 nt
Filed under: uncultured bacterium
Lineage: Bacteria
Description: partial 16S ribosomal RNA
Rfam family: Bacterial small subunit ribosomal RNA
Source: RNAcentral